UACGUAGGGGGCUAGCGUUGUCCGGAAUCAUUGGGCGUAAAGAGCGUGUAGGCGGCCCGGUAAGUCCGCUGUGAAAGUCGGAGGCUCAACCCUCGAAUGCCGGUGGAUACUGUCGGGCUAGAGUGCGGAAGAGGCGAGUGGAAUUCCUGGUGUAGCGGUGAAAUGCGCAGAUAUCAGGAGGAACACCAAUUGCGAAGGCAGCUCGCUGGGACGUUACUGACGCUGAGACGCGAAAGCGUGGGGAGCGAACAGG
This 253-nucleotide ribosomal RNA is filed under the name uncultured bacterium. RNAcentral's name for it is "partial 16S ribosomal RNA". It matches the Rfam family "Bacterial small subunit ribosomal RNA", at positions 524 to 776 of the family's 1533-position model. The record is from RNAcentral.